Non-coding RNA from Lupinus albus (white lupine), 602 nucleotides. Lineage: Eukaryota; Viridiplantae; Streptophyta; Magnoliopsida; Fabales; Fabaceae. The record is from the annotation of a GenBank genome assembly.
CCGGUACCACUGCUUCGGUCCCAAAGGAUAGGGGUCUCUCCAGUGGAUGUUCGACUCGUAGUCCGGUAGACCCACAGUAUACUAGGCAGCUCAUCUGCCCAUAGCCCCUUUGCCUUAUCUAAUCUAGUCUUGAGCCCUUUCAGUAUGGUGCGCUUGGUUACCUCAGCCUGACCAUUUUCUUGGUUGGGUGGUUGGGGAUGACCUACCGAGGUGAACCCGUGUUCAAUGCCAAGUUCUGCGCAGAAAUUUCUUCAUGAGCUGUUAUCAAAUUCAUUGUCGGUAACUAAGAUCCGCGGUACCUCGAAGCGGCACACAAUAGACUUCCAAACAAAGUUCUGGGCCUUCCUCUCCAUGAUCUUCUCUGCUUCUACCGACUUGGUAAAGUAAUCAAUUGCCAGAAUUCGAAACUUUCUCUGACCGGUGGCAAGAGGGAAAGGGCCUAUCAUAUCCAUCCCCCACUGUGCGAAGGGCCACGGACUUAGGAUAGGGCUAAGUGGGGCUGAUGGUUUAUGUUGGAGGUUGGCCUGCCUUUGAAAUUUUUCACACCGGAACGGAAGACAAGCGCUGUAGCAUCUUCCUGAUGACUCGGCCUGUAGUAGCCC